Molecule: ribosomal RNA, 406 nt
Filed under: uncultured bacterium
Lineage: Bacteria
Description: partial 16S ribosomal RNA
Rfam family: Bacterial small subunit ribosomal RNA
Source: RNAcentral
GAUGAACGCUGACAGAAUGCUUAACACAUCAGCAAUUGAUUGGUGGCGGACGGGUGAGUAACGCGUAAAUAACUUGCCUCACAGCUAGGGACAACAUUUGGAAACGAAUGCUACUACCUAAUACUGUGAGAGAGCUUUUCGUCCCAUUAGCUAGUUGGAGAGGUAACGGCUCACCAAGGCGAUGAUGGGUAGCCGGCCUGAGAGGGUGAUCGGGCACAAGGGGCCUGGGGAGCGGCCCUUACGCCUACGGGAGGCAGGAGUGGGGAAUAUUGGAAAAUGGACCAAAGUCUGAUGAAGCAAUUCUGUGUGCAAGAUGAAGUUGUCGGAAGGUAAAGUGCUUUCAGUUGGGAAGCGGUACCAACAGAAGAAGUGACGGCUAAAUACGUGCCAGCAGCCGCGGUAAUUC